UGUUGUGAUGAUAACGAGUAAUAGGAAGUGCCGUCAGAAGCGAUAACUGACGAUAUAUAUUCUUGAUCUGAUU
This 73-nucleotide small nucleolar RNA is filed under the name Cavia porcellus (domestic guinea pig). Its description in RNAcentral is "Small nucleolar RNA SNORD49". It matches the Rfam family "Small nucleolar RNA SNORD49". Rfam says of the family: U49 belongs to the C/D class of snoRNA which contain the C (UGAUGA) and D (CUGA) box motifs. Lineage: Eukaryota; Metazoa; Chordata; Mammalia; Rodentia; Caviidae. The record is from Rfam by way of RNAcentral.